AGAUGUUCUGGUAAACACUUUUACACUUAAGUCCUCAGACCGGCCCUGAGAGACCCUGGUAAUUCACUCCUUUCCUGAAUGCAACCCCCCACAUGGCACUGCAUGUGCAGUGUCCUCCUCCUGCAGACUAUGGGUGUAUUUUUCCUUAUUGCAAAUUUCCUUCAAUUCAUCAGCAGAAAUUCUAGCCACUUAACUGGGAGCUUGUGACCCUGGUUUGGACGGCUUAUGUACUCGCCUUUCAACAAACGUGGAUUGAUUUCUUGUUCCGUAGCUUCUGCUUGGCACUUCCCGCUUUCCCUGUGGAACGCCAUCUUUAGCCUUCGGUCACCACGCUGAUCCCCCUAUGAAUCACUUCCUUUGGGUCACUUGAGUUUUUUUUCUUAUAAGAGAAUCGAAUCUUUUUCAACAACCAAGUUAAAAAAUAAAGACAUUCCUAGGUUCCUGCUUUACCAUUCAUUCGCUGGUCCCAGGGCUUCAUGACUUACUUGCAAUUCAUACAUUCAUCACCAUGUUUAUCCAUACCAUAGGGAUCUCCUGGGUGCUCAAAGGCGCACUGCAUUUUCUUUUUUUCUUUUUUUUUUUUUUCCAAGGAGAGGCCUUCACAUGUUUAUUACUGAGGCAAAGCACUAUACAGAAACAACAACAUAAAGAGAACCCAUUUCCAGAUAUAUCCAACGGUGGCUGUGCCGUUUUCAGUGAUAUGGUAAGAUGCAAGGAAAUAACUGCCACACAGCAUCAAUAUGUGCACCACCUCACACGUGGAGGCUCCUUAGAGACCCAGCUUGGUUCUUCUCCAAUGUCUUCUCUUUGAGUUGUACCUGAUUUUAUUACCAGUUUUCAUCCGAAUCCAUUGGGGGAUGGGACGAUUCUGCUUUUGCUUCUUGGCCAAGAAUCGCUUGAUCCUGAAAGUCUUAUGAGAAGACAUGGCGAGGAACUAAUUCAACCACACACAGGACGGCAGAAAAGAGCAGAGAGCUGCAUUUUCUAGCACAAUCCAUACCGUGCUGGGGCAGCCCUAAAUCCUAUCAAGGUAGCUGACCGCUGCCUGAGGGAACGCAUUUUCUAUGGAUUUUCCUGCCCACAUGUGUUUAUUUUACUGAUUUAUCUGCAACCUAUCUUCCUGCAAGAAGAAAUCAGGGCUGCUUAUAAAAAUGCAAACAUUACAGGAAGAUCAAAUAAAUUUGAAAUAAGAAACAGGAGGGAAAGCAAAGGUAAGGAAGUAAGAUGCAGGUGGUAAAGUCUUUGCUGUAGAUGGGACAGAAGUUGGCUCAGAGCCCCCCUGUAAUCAGUGCAAGAGAGAAAAAUGGUGAAUUACAAAAUGCAUGGUGUCCCUGAAGUAUAAACACACCAGCUGCACAGGCGCAGCACAAUUGUUCUAACACUACAAUGUCAGAGUUUCGUGAUGCCAAUGCAAGUUCAAGGAUCCAUCAUUGUCACUGCUGGGGCUUGGGCCCUGGCUUUGAUGCAAAUUAGAUCCCUGGCCCAGGAACCUCUGCAUGCCAUGGGUUCAGUGAAAAAAAAAAUAUAUAUACAAUAGGGAGUUCCUGUUGUAGCUCAGCAGGUUAAGAACCCAGCUAGUAUCCAUGAGGAUGCUGGUUCGAUCCUUGGCCUUGAUCAGGGGGUUAAGGAUCCAGCGUUGCCGAGAGCUGCAAUGUAGGUCACAGAUGUGACUUGGAUCCCUAGUUGCUGUGGCGGUGGCGUAAGCUGGGAGCUACAGUUCUGAUUCAUCCCCUAGCCUGGGAACUUCCGUAUGCCACAGGUGCAGCCCUAAAAACAAAAACCAAAAAAGCAAUCAAAUAACUACAGUGGAUCCUUCCAAAGGAGUUAGUGAACAUGGAGUUAUCCUAGUAACAUGUUUCUUAAAGCAUGGGAAGGAUUGCCUGGGCCCUCCUCAUAUACCAAAGCACAAGAUAGGGGAAGCAUUUUGGCCUGAGGUUACAAACUGUGCUACCCUCCUCUGACACUACCGGGGAAUGAAGGAUGGAUGAAAUUACCUCCAUGAGGGCUUCGGAGAAGAGAAAUAAGGAAAGUGCAUGGUGACAGCUUUUAGGAUUUCGGGACACAGUAAAAUGCCAAAGACCACUCAGAAGCUAAGGCUUGGAUCAAAUCUAUUCUUCUUAUUAUUUUUUUGUCUUUUUGCCUUUUCUAGGGCCGCUUCCAUGGCAUAUGGAGAUUCCCAGGCUAGGGGUCGAAUCGGAGCUGUAGCCACUGGCCUAUGCCAGAGCCACAGCAACGUGGGAUCCAAGCCACGUCUGCAACCUACACCACAGCUCACGGCAACGCCUGGUCCUUAACCCACUGAGCAAGGCCAGGGAUCGAACCCGAAACCUCAUGGUUCCUAGUCGGAUUCAUUAACCACUGAGCCACGAUGGGAACUCCAUGGAUCAAAUCUAUUCUUUGGGGCUAUGACGAGCAAAAAACUGUUUUAUCAGACUCAGGGAUUUGAAUUCCACAGCCAACCCCACCCCAAUCCUUGUUUUUAUUGGGCCCUUUUAGACCUUCAGAAAAAGAAUGGGAAAGCAGGAGGGCAAACUGCUGAGAAAGGCUGGGGCCUCACAUGCUUGGGGCCAAAUGGACUUGCACGGUUUCUUUGGCCCCUCGCUUUCUUUGCUUUUCUUUUCUAUUUUUUUGGUCACACCCAAAGCCUAUGUUCCCAGGCUAUGGAUCCAAUUGGAGAUGCAGCUGCGGGCCUACAUCACAGCCACAGCAGCAGGGGAUCUGAGCCAGAGCUGCAACCUACCCCGAAACUUGCAGCAAUGCAGGAUCCUUAAUCUACUGAGCGAGGCCAGGGAUCAGACCCACAUCCUCAUGGAUACUAGUCAGGUUCUUAACCUGCUGAGCCACAACAGGAACUCCCCACGCUAACUUUUUUAUUGACUUUUUGUUUUUAUGACCUUCAGUUGAACCUGUUGUGCAGGCUGACACUGCCUAGCAAAGAUGGCAGUUAUAGACGUGAAAUUUGCUUUAUUCACUAUCGAUCUCAUAGUAUCUUUUCCACUAAAGCCUGAUAGAGCUCUUUCCUUUUAGGGUCCAUCAGUUUAUAUUUUUAUUUUUAAUUUUUUUUUGGCUCUUUCCCUGACACACAGAAGUGCCCAGGCCAGGGAUUGAACCUGUGCCACAGCAGUGACCUGAGCUGUAUCGGUGUGAAUUGCUGGAUCCUUAACCCACUGAGCCACAUCGGAACUCCAGGGCCUGUCAGUUUAAAUCUCAUGAUAUAACCUAGGAGAUGGGCAAAUUAUUUCCCAUUGGAGAAAAAAAAAUUGCAUUGAUAUCAAUAAAACUCAGUUCUUGCGGCCAUUCCUUCGUUGUUGUUAAUGUGAAGUGAUAAAGGGUUUUAACUCUGAACCUCAAAGAAAUCAGCACGUGAUUGGAUGCAAACUAAUCCAAGAAGAUAAGGCCCGUGGAGUUCCCGCUAUGGCACAGUGGGUUAAUGAUCCAACUUGUCUCUGUGGAGGCACCACUUUGAUCCCCAGCCUGGUGCUGGGGUUAAGAAUCUGGCUGUUGCUGCAGCUGUGCUGGAGGUCGCAGCUCCUGUUCAGAUUCAGUCUCUGACCUGGGAACUGUGGGGGCGGCUGAAAAAAAAAGAAAAGAACAAAAAACAAAAACCCAAGGCCCAUAUGUUUCUCUGCAUUAGCAGAGGACGGAAAAGUCAAAAGGGCAGGGGCAAGAAUGACACCUCAGAAAUAGUGACAGGUAAUAAUCAAAACUUGAAAACCCUUGGGAGUUCCUCUUGUGGCUCAGUGGAAACAAAUCUGACUAGUAACCAUAAGGACGCAGGUUCAAUCCCUGGCCUCGCUCAGUGGGUUAAGGAUCUGGCAUUGCCGGGGGCUGCAGUGUAGGUCUCAGAUGUGACUCCGAUCUGGCGUUGCUGUGGCUGUGAUAUAGGCUGGCAGCUACAGCACCGAUUCGACCUCUAGCCUGGGAACUUUCAUACACCGUGGGUGCGGCCCUAAAAAAAAUUUAAAAAAACUUGAAAAUCCUUCAAAAGGAAGGAUAAUGAUAGCUUUCUCUGAAUCGCCGUUCAAUCUGCACAGAGUAUUGUCACCAACAGGAAUCCUGAACUUAAAAAAAAAACAAAAGGAAAGAGAAAGCAUUUUUUUCUAACUUCUUUUUUUGUAGAUUAAUGGCUAACUUUACCUCCAGUACGGUAAUUCAGCAUCAUCUAAAGUUGAGACAAAUGCUUCUGUAUGUGCUAAGUUUCACUAGUCAAUUUAAUUCUUUGCGAUGAAAAAAAUUUAUGUCAGCAAAUUUAGAAAUUGAAAACAAAUUUUUAAGACGUUCAAAACUCCAGGUUACUAAAAAUAACAUUGACCCUUGGUAUUUGUCUGAGGACUCUCUGGGGAGAAGAUUUCAUCCAUUGGCGAUAAAUGGGGCCAACUCAUCUGCCGUCUUGGGUUUAAUUAGCUAAACUCUUCCAGAUGGAGACCAUUCAAAGCACAGGAAUAUUUCUGAGGCCCCUGGAAUUGUUAAUAAGCAUAACAGUAUGUUACAUGUACAAGAAAAUAUGUCUUUUAUCUUUGCCUUUAAAAGGCAACCUAGGAAGCCCUUGGUAGCAUUCUGACUUUCAAUUCAAUUAUUAAAAACGCAAUGCUCUAAUUGUAUUCCACAUCGAACAAAUGAACCUUGAGUGUUUGCUUUUCUCCUGUGCUAAGCCCUGGGGAGGGGGAAAUAAGAGAGGAGCCCUGUGCUUAUGGCAAUUAUAAUUUAACUAGAGGUUGUGUUCCCAGCGCCCGGCAUGUGAUAGGGGCUGCAUAAUUCUUUGGUGAAUAAAUGAGUGAAUGAUACAGACCCUUGGGUAGGGAAUUGCAUUAAUGAAAGUCUGAACAAAUUAUUGUGGUCGGAGAAGAGAGGAGUGGCCUCAAGCGGUCAGAGAGGUUUCACAAAGAAAUCUGCCAGAUAGGCGCACAGAAGACUUCCGGACCCAGAAAACAUGUGUUACGGCACAGAGAAGAAAAAGAGUAACAUGUAUUUAGGCAACAGCCAGUGAUUUGGUGUGGCCGGAAUGGAAUGUGGGUAUGGAAUGUGCCUGGAAGAUAGUGAGACCAGUGAACUGGGUUGGGCUUCGUUUGAAGAGAACCCUGAGAGCCGAAGGUUGGACUGGAUCCUUUAGCAUGUGUUGGCAUUUCAGAAAGAUGACCGGAGACACAGCUAGAGGAUGCCUGGAAGGGGGAAGGGAAGUAAUAGAUUCCAAAGCUGAAGUGUUCAUUUGUGACUAGCACUAGGAUAGACCCCCUUACCUACUUACAUUAAAUCUCAUUUAACCAUUGCCACAGUCCCAGUGGGUACAUGAUAGUGCCCUCAGUUUCUGAGGGGGGAAACUCAAGUUAAGUGACUUUCCCCAAAUCACAGAGCUAAGAAAAGAUGAAACUAGAAUUUGAAGCCAGGGUUCCAAAACGCUCAUUGGAGAAUAAAAAAUACCAUUGGGGAGUUGCCUGGUGGCCUGGCAGUUAAGGAUUCGGCGUUGUCACUGCUGUGGCUUGGGUUCAACCCUAAGCCCAGGAAUUUCUGCAUGCCCCAGGCAUAGCCAAAAAACCCCAAAAAACCCCAAAAAACCCCAUUGGACUUACACAAAUUAGUAUUAGGAAAAAUGUGUACAGUGGAAGUUUGGAGAAAGAUAGUGCAGAUGAGGAAAGAUACACGGGCAAGGAAAGAAAAGCAUGACUGUACGAAAGGAUAUUUACAGUAAGGGAGAUACAACACAGGAAGUGGGAAGAUAAUCACAGAAAAACCACAACAUGUGUUUUUAAAAUGCAAAGCCCCAGGGAGGAGAACGCAAACGAUACAAUAAUGCCAUUCGCUCUGGCAUCCUGUGCAUUUGGUUUUGCUCUUUCCUCCUCUUUCUUUUUUUUUUUUUUUUUUUUUUAACUUUAAACAACUUGUUAUGAGAGUAACAAAGAUACAGCUCAUGAUCUUGCAACUCUAAUACCCUAAAUCAGAAACAGAUGGUGCCUAGUGUACCCUGUUUCCUAGAAACUGCAGAAUUUUCAGGACAACACCCUGUCGCACUGCACCACUGAUUUCAGUUCCUUUGCAGAUACGAAUACACAGCUAAAUAAUGCAGUUGCUGGGCAUUAUAUCAGAACAUCUGUUUUUCUUUCUCUAGAAUCUUUCUGAAGGUUAAAACUUCUCUCCAUUUUUAUUGUUUUUUUUUCUGAUGUCCAAAGUAAUUCAUUUUUAUUGCUAAAAAUUUUGAAAAUACUGAAGAAGGAAGAAAAUUAAAAUCCCUCAUAAU
Molecule: long non-coding RNA, 6232 nt
Filed under: Sus scrofa (pig)
Lineage: Eukaryota; Metazoa; Chordata; Mammalia; Artiodactyla; Suidae
Description: lncRNA (ENSSSCG00025031798.1)
Source: RNAcentral